Molecule: ribosomal RNA, 250 nt
Filed under: uncultured prokaryote
Description: partial 16S ribosomal RNA
Rfam family: Bacterial small subunit ribosomal RNA
Source: RNAcentral
CACGUAAGCCCCGAGCGUUGUUCGGAAUUAUUGGGCGUAAAGGGCAUGUAGGCGGUUUUGCAAGUCUGGUGUGAAAGGCAGGAGCUCAACUCCUGGACUGCGCUGGAAACUGCAUGACUUGAGUUUCUGAGGGGCACUCGGAAUUCCUGGUGUAGGGGUGAAAUCUGUAGAUAUCAGGAAGAACACCGGUGGCGAAGGCGGGGUGCCAGCAGAAGACUGACGCUGAGGUGCGAAGGUGCGGGGAGCAAAC